ACCCAGUGUAUUCCCACUUAGUGGGGUCUGGGGGGGUAAGAUGUACGCAGUCCAUACCUCUACCUCUGAUGAAGUAGAAAGGCUGUUUCCGAAAGACCCCCGGCUCAAGUCACGAGAUAUCACACAAACACAUAGUACAGCACAGAAGCAGAUGACAUAACACAGAUACGGCACCCAUAAGGAAUAUAAAACAGAGUAAGGAAUGCAGGAAUAUAAAGCAGAGGAAAGCACACAGAUUCGUAAUAAACAUGGAACACGGAACACGAAACACUGAAUACGGAAUCAUAACAGGAAUACACCCCCACCAAUUAAUUCCCUACACUAGCGCCCCGAACUGGCCCUAAUCCUCUGCCGUAAUUCGCAUCUUCCAGACCUUCCUAUCGAGGUUCAUGUCCUCGGUGAGCUGUAACUGUUCCAUGUCCCGCCUAAUCACCUCACCCCAGUACUUCUUCGG
RNAcentral lists this long non-coding RNA (454 nucleotides) under Capsicum annuum. RNAcentral describes it as "long non-coding RNA (CANN_LNC015090)". The record is from RNAcentral. Lineage: Eukaryota; Viridiplantae; Streptophyta; Magnoliopsida; Solanales; Solanaceae.